This 1023-nucleotide long non-coding RNA is filed under the name Astyanax mexicanus (Mexican tetra). RNAcentral's name for it is "lncRNA (ENSAMXG00005021610.1)". Lineage: Eukaryota; Metazoa; Chordata; Actinopteri; Characiformes; Acestrorhamphidae. The record is from RNAcentral.
GGCUCAUCCAUCGAAAUCAUUGAACUCGACUCUUAAUCACUUCCAAUCACUUCUGCAAACAUUACUGAAAGAAUGGGUCACUCUCUGGAGCUCAGUGAAUUUCAGUGUGGUACUGUGAUAGGAAGUCCAGUUGUGAAAUUUCCUCCCUAUUUGCUUUGAUGGCAGAUUUUCUCAGUGUCUUCAUGACGUAGAGUCACCUGGAAUAGUUUCUCAGCACCUUUAAGGAUUUCUGGAAGUGCUGAAAAACAGUUGCUGCUUUUCCUUCACGCUGUGAAGCUCCAGCUCAUUCCCUAUUAUCUAAAAUCACCAUCUCAGCUGUGUUUAGAUCAUUCACACAUUGUUAAACCAAAUAAAUACAGAAUUGGAACAGAAGAGAGCUGGUAAGUAAAUAAGAGAGCAACAGAAUACUCACAAAAAUCACAUACAAACUCUCACUCAUGCUAAUGUAUUCAAUCAGAGUAAGAGGCAUGUUAUAUAUUUAUCUUAAUCUGUAUAAGAUUAUCUAUAAAACUGCUUGUUGUUAUAUUUAUUUUAAAAUAUAUUUCCACAGUUCUCUCACUACUUUGAGACCUCAUACUCCUCUGCCUACAACAAAGAAGACACACGCCCAGUUUACAACACUCUAAAGAGAGAGCCCAGAAUCUUUCCUGGUCACCAGCCUGAACUGGACCCUCCCCAUACGAAGUGUGUGCUGGACUCCUGCUACAGACUGGACUUCAGCAGGCAUGGGUCAACCAGAAGCUCUGCAAGACCAAGUGCUCCUGAGCUGCAGCUGAAAAGCGAGAAAGAGAUGGACACAAGGAAUUCUGUCACAGAUCUGCAGUAGACUGUGAAUCCACGUAAACAGGAGUGUACACUCUUAAACAUAAAGACUCUGCAAUUUUUUCAUUGAGCCAAAUCACUUUUGGUUCCAAAAAAAAAAAAAAAAAACGUUUGUAACCAAAAUAUCUGUGAAUAAUCUCAGUAAGUGAAGGUUCUUCACCAUUUUAAGAACUUGACAUUCACACAUCUCUAGUAUUAAAC